CAGUAGCCGCGGGAAUACAGAGGGUGCGAGCGUUAAUCGGAUUUACUGGGCGUAAAGCGUGCGUAGGCGGCUUCUUAAGUCGGAUGUGAAAUCCCUGAGCUUAACUUAGGAAUUGCAUUCGAUACUGGGAAGCUAGAGUAUGGGAGAGGAUGGUAGAAUUCCAGGUGUAGCGGUGAAAUGCGUAGAGAUCUGGAGGAAUACCGAUGGCGAAGGCAGCCAUCUGGCCUAAUACUGACGCUGAGGUACGAAAGCAUGGGGAGCAAACAGGAUUAGAUACCCCUGUAGUCCCUGUCUCUUAUCA
This 301-nucleotide ribosomal RNA is filed under the name uncultured bacterium. RNAcentral describes it as "partial 16S ribosomal RNA". It matches the Rfam family "Bacterial small subunit ribosomal RNA", at positions 509 to 809 of the family's 1533-position model. The record is from RNAcentral.